This 4860-nucleotide long non-coding RNA is filed under the name Glycine max (soybean). RNAcentral describes it as "long non-coding RNA (GMAX_LNC000632)". Lineage: Eukaryota; Viridiplantae; Streptophyta; Magnoliopsida; Fabales; Fabaceae. The record is from RNAcentral.
UUGAUUCCAUGAAUUGUACUGAUUCUGCAGAAUGAAGGUUGAAAUUGAAGGCAGCCACAGUGAUUAUGCUGAAUCUGUUUCCAGACAACCAGAAAAUAGAGGAAGAUUGGAAUCCAAGAAGAAACUGAAGAAAGUGAGGUCAAUAAGGCUUGUAAGAUUGCCAAGCAAGAGAUCAUCCACCAGAGGAGGGAGACACCGCCAUGAUUAUCUCUUCAUUGACACAGAAAGUUUAGAGGGGCCAACACCAAUUGAAAUGGUAGAUGCAUCACCAAAUUACAUGAAGGCUACCAGCAGUUCUCAUGCAAAAGAUAGUAUUCAGGUAAGUUUGCUGAUUUUGAAAAAAAUGAUUUGAAUGGUUUCAAUUGUUUGGUGAAUAGUAAGAAUAAGAAUAAUACAAUGCUGCUUUUGGUCAGAAUACACAAAGAAUACUAUUCACAAAGAAGACUUUGACAAGAAUGUCUACUACUUUGAAACUGAAGAGAAGUCUGACCAGAAAGUUAUCUGGAAGGACUGAACCAAAGAGGGAACUGAAGUCCUCAAGAUCAAUCAAGUUUGCAGCUGUCAAGGGCCAAAAAUCAACAAGAAAGUUUUAUGAAUCUAAUUAUGGAAGUGAUGACCAGAAUUGGAAAAGUGCAAGUGAUGCUGGUAACAAACUCCAGAGAGUCAUAACCAGAAGAUUAAGCUUGAAGCCCGUGAGGAUCUUAGCAAAGAUGCCUACUUUCAAAUCAAAGAAUUCUUCCAUGGAGAGAGGCAAUCAGAUAUCUCAAUCCCCAUACACAAGCUUGCUUAGAGCCACUUGUACUUCUGCUCUCAAGGAUUCCCAUUUUCCUGAGAAAAUUGACCUCCCUCAAGAGGGAAGUGACUCUCAAGGAGUAUCAGCUGUGAAGGUUUGUCCAUAUUCUUACUGCUCACUUCACGGUCAACGCCACACCAAUCUGCCUCCACUGAAGCGCUUUGUGUCAAUGAGGAGGCGCACGUUGAAGAGCCAAAAGCCAACAAAAAUGGAUUGUCAACCUGACACUAGAUCAAAGCAGAUUGGUAAUGCAAAGAAAGCCGCUCAGAAAACUCAAACUGUCCACAAAGAAGAUGGAAGAUCUCAUUUUCAGAACAAGAAAAAGCUGGCUAGGGGCUUAUGGAUUAGGCCUCAUGGCACUCCAGCAUCCACAGUUUCUGAAGGUGUGGAAUCAACAUCAACAGAUAGAGUCGAGUUUUCUGCUCCUGAUACUGAGAUAUUGGAGAGAGAAGUAACUAACACUGGCAACACAAGCAAAAAUAUGAAGCUGGAUUGUGAAGUACUGAAGAUGAGUUCUUUACAGAAAGAGUCUACACAUGCUAGCACUACUGAUAUGGCAAGGGGAAUGCAGGAAAGAGAUAAAAAAUUUGUCAAAAUGUGGCAGUUGAUGUAUAAGCAUGCUGUAUUGAGUAACACAGGUGAAAAUAAGCAGCAAUUUGAUGGGAAGGACAAGGAAGGAAGAGAGCAAGAUUUCUUUGCAACUAAUGAAGUGAACAACUCUUGUCGUGAUGAUUGUGAUACAGAUCAGGAUAUGGAUGAGGAAAAUAAGGAUGCAAUUGAGCUGGUGCAGAAAGCAUUUGAUGAAAUCCUUCUUCCAGAGCCUGAAGACCUCUUUUCUGAUGAUCAAUUCAAAUCUGAAGGCAUUGAUUCAGAUGUGGUACACUUAGAAAAGAGUGAAGUUGAGAGAAAAAGGAAUACUUCAACAUCCACAGAAUCUCCAACAGCACAGAGGAUGGGGACCAAACCUGACCAAAGAGCACCAAGAAGCUGGAGCAAUCUGAAGAAGUUAAUCCUCUUGAAAAGGUUUGUGAAUGCAUUAGAGAAGGUAAGAAACAUCAACCCCAAAAGACCAAGACGUUUUCCUUCUGAUGCUAACUUAGAAAUAGAAAAAGUUUUUCUCAAGCACCAAACAGCGGAAGAGAAGAAGAAUGCUGAGGAAUGGAUGCUUGACUAUGCACUUCAAAAGGUUGUUUCUAAACUUGCACCUGCUCAAAGACAAAAAGUGACACUUCUAGUAAAAGCUUUUGAAACAAUUCUGCCAUUUCAAGUUGCUGAAAAUAGUCCACGGUUUUCUCCAACAAUGGAACCUCAAGCAAAUCCAGUUCAACCCCUUGACAAUUCCUCAAAUCACAGCGAGGAAGAAACAUCAUUUUCUCAUGAUAGCAGUAUGGAACUGACAGAAAAUACUAGUGAUGAUCCAAUGCCAGAACUGCACAAUCCUACUACGCUCAAAGAAAGAUGUCUUGAGUCUCUUGAUUUUCCUGGAACCGAGACAGUCAAGAAUAUGCCUGCCUUUGGAGCUACUGAAGAAGACUUGAGUGGAAAGCAAAGUUUAGCUGGCAGUUAUGAUAAUGAGGAGAAGAUAUCAAGUGACAGUGAUAAUAUUUAUCUUGUAGAGAUCAAAGAUACUACCUCAAGUUCCUUAAAUGAGCCAGUUGAAAUUAUAAGAAGCAGUCAUGAGGAGGCUCCAACCAAUGAAACAGUCAAUGAUGUUCCAGAAGAUUUGCUAUCCAGUGUGAAUACAGAAAAUCCAGAUAUCAAAUCUGAGUCACCUGGAAGAGAUGUUGAAACCAAGAAUCUGAAUGGUGAUAAUGGGGAAAAAAUUUCCAUGUCCAAAAGUUUAGUCCUAGAAGGUUUAGUUAGAUCACUCAGAUCUAAUUUGAUUGGUUCAGGAGCACCUGUAAACGAACCAACUGCCAACAACAGAAAAGAAGGAAUUGAAAAUGUUAAACAGGAAACUGAGACUCUUGAAGAGUUCCCUACAAAGGAACAAUCUGAAGCUCAUAUUAGUGCUGUUGUAGAACCUGAGACCCCUGUAGAGAAACAGAAUAACACAGGAUUGUGGUACUUGGUGUAUAAGCACAUGGUAUCAAAUAUGGAUGAAAACAAUUCCGAGUCACUAAUUGAUGGGGCAGAUGAAAAAGAGUCAGGGUUUGAUGGGAGCAGAACAAGAGGAGCUUCCUUCUCUCAUGAAAGUACACCCGUGACUGAUGAAGAGAUGAAAUUUAAGGACCAUGUCGUAGCUGAUCCAGAAGUUGCACGCCAACAGAAUGAAGCCAUCAAGAUGGUAGAAGAAGCAAUUGAUUCAAUUCUUCCAGAUGAUCAGGAUGACUUAUCAGACAAGGAAUCACUCACUGACAGCACAAUUUCAGACAACUCCAAACAAUCCAACAGAACUGAAAGAGUAUACAGUGAAGGCCUGAACCAAAAAGAAGAACAGAUGGAAUCCGGGAACGGAAUGAUCCAAAAACAAGAAGAAUCAGCACCAAAGGAGCAAAACAAAACAAACCAGAAAAUGUCUACAAGCUGGAGCAAUCUUAAAAAAGUGAUCCUGCUUAGGAGAUUCAUCAAGUCAUUGGAAAAAGUAAGGAAAUUCAACCCAAGAGGGCCUAGAUAUCUACCUCUAGAGCCUGAUUCAGAAGCUGAAAAAGUUAACUUAAGGCAUCAAGACAUGGAAGAACGAAAAGGUACGGAAGAAUGGAUGCUUGAUUAUGCACUUCGACAGGUUGUUUCCAAAUUAACCCCUGCUAGGAAAAGAAAAGUGGAGCUGCUGGUGGAAGCUUUUGAAACAGUCAUGCCAACUAUAAAAACUUGAAACUGGGCAAACUGGCAAAGAGUGGAAUAGCUUUGUAUGCAAAAAAAAUUCAAGCUGAAAGGUAUAAAAUUACCCUCAAGUAGUUUUUUUUUUUAAUUUACCCUUCCUCUUUUUUUCUUCUCUGAAGUAUUGCAAAGUGAUGUGCAAUUGUUAACAACAGUCAACAGAAAACUUGUCAAACUAUGUGAAAACUGAAUAUUCAAAAAUGUCAAGGGAAACCAUAUCCAUUAAAAAUAUCAAGUAGCCACUCCUAUACUCCUGUCAUAUGAUCAAUUUUAACCAGAUAACAGAAGAGGAAGAAUUCUAUAUGCAUCAUUUAUAAGAACAUCCACGCAUCUAAAGUAAUAGCUCAAGUUGUAUUUAUGUAAUUAUACUACUAUCUCGAGAAAUCUGAUUCACUGUCUCCUCUACAUGUGCAGGUCAACAAGGAGAUGUAUAUGAUCAUAAUCAUUUGGGAUGUCAGCAGUUUUUUGUUUUGUGGAAACUGUGUCUGGUGUCAUAUAUUUUUUAUAGUCUCUUAGGAGGAAACUUAGAGUAUAGAAUGUUUCAUGAUUCAGCAACAACAAAAUUCAAUAUAGGGAUAUUUCCCCCUUUUUUUAACCUUUCAUAUCUCUCUUGGUGUUCUCAGGUGGAUGUUUUGUAUGAAAGAUUUGCAUUACAAAUACCAUAGACAAUCUUUAAAUGUCAUGAUGUAUGUCUUUUGUGUGGAACAUAAUAGAAUGGCCUAAUCCGUAUUGCAUAUUUAUACUCUUCUCUUUUUGCAGUAAAGAUUUCUUAUCCUGUUUUUGAACAUCCAAAGAUAAACACAAAGUGAAAAGUCAUGACUACCUAAUUUCAUCGCUUGUUUUGAGUAGAACACUGAAUUUAUAAGCCAUUAUAGAUGUGCAACAUAUACAAUGCCUGCUUUUACUUUUAAAAAUAGUUGUGUUUUUAUUUUUACUAAGAAACGAUUAUUAGUCAUAAUUUAAGCUUGAUCCUAUCGACACAAAACAUACAUGACUUGAAUAAUGACUGGAAAUAAUGAAACUAAAACCUGUUUUGGGGUGAUAAUGAAACUGAAUAAUGGGCAUUUGCACACAAAGGUAAUAAUAAAAAAGAGUAAGAAGUUGUUAACCUUGAUCCACUGUGGGGAAGGGCCAACACUCACUUGUAACAGCCAUUUCUCUGUCUUCAACAAAAUGUGUUGACUAGUGACUUCAAACUUCAAAGUCCAAACCUUUAUGCUAUGUUCAUAUUCGAGGUUGGACCAUAG